Molecule: non-coding RNA, 26 nt
Filed under: Rattus norvegicus (Norway rat)
Lineage: Eukaryota; Metazoa; Chordata; Mammalia; Rodentia; Muridae
Source: RNAcentral
CAAAUCACUAAUCAGGCACCAGGUCU